GUGGGGAAUUUUGCGCAAUGGGGGAAACCCUGACGCAGCAACGCCGCGUGAGUGAUGAAGGCCUUCGGGUCGUAAAGCUCUGUCAGAGGGGAAGAAAUGCAGGGGUGCUAAUAUCAUCUUUGCUUGACGGUACCCUCAAAGGAAGCACCGGCUAACUCCGUGCCAGCAGCCGCGGUAAUACGGAGGGUGCGAGCGUUGUUCGGAAUUAUUGGGCGUAAAGCGCGUGUAGGCGGUUUGGUAAGUCUGAUGUGAAAGCCCCGGGCUCAACCUGGGAAGUGCAUUGGAAACUGUCAGACUUGAAUACGGGAGAGGGUAGUGGAAUUCCUAGUGUAGGAGUGAAAUCCGUAGAUAUUAGGAGGAACACCGGUGGCGAAGGCGGCUACCUGGACCGAUAUUGACGCUGAGACGCGAAAGCGUGGGGAGCAAACAGGAUUAGAAACCCCGGUAGUCC
Molecule: ribosomal RNA, 451 nt
Filed under: uncultured bacterium
Lineage: Bacteria
Description: partial 16S ribosomal RNA
Rfam family: Bacterial small subunit ribosomal RNA
Source: RNAcentral